AAAACGGCCCUUAUCAGGGCCAAAUACUUAUUUGUUAAAAGAUUGU
This is a non-coding RNA of Tetranychus urticae (two-spotted spider mite), 46 nucleotides long. Lineage: Eukaryota; Metazoa; Arthropoda; Arachnida; Trombidiformes; Tetranychidae. The record is from Rfam.